AGGGUCGUAGUUUAUGAGAACGGUUAAUUUGCAUUUAAACAGCACUAAAGUCUUCCCU
This 58-nucleotide transfer RNA is filed under the name Acanthogammarus victorii. RNAcentral describes it as "tRNA-Ala". Lineage: Eukaryota; Metazoa; Arthropoda; Malacostraca; Amphipoda; Acanthogammaridae. The record is from RNAcentral.